GGAGAGAUGGCCGAGUGGCUGAUGGCGCACGCUUGGAAAGUGUGUUUACGAGCAAUCGUAACGUGGGUUCGAAUCCCACUCUCUCCGCCA
Molecule: transfer RNA, 90 nt
Filed under: Candidatus Peregrinibacteria bacterium RIFOXYA2_FULL_41_18
Lineage: Bacteria; Candidatus Peregrinibacteriota
Also listed under: 2 other names
Description: tRNA-Ser
Rfam family: tRNA
About the family: Transfer RNA (tRNA) molecules are approximately 80 nucleotides in length. Their secondary structure includes four short double-helical elements and three loops (D, anti-codon, and T loops). Further hydrogen bonds mediate the characteristic L-shaped molecular structure. tRNAs have two regions of fundamental functional importance: the anti-codon, which is responsible for specific mRNA codon recognition, and the 3' end, to which the tRNAs corresponding amino acid is attached (by aminoacyl-tRNA synthetases). tRNAs cope with the degeneracy of the genetic code in two manners: having more than one tRNA (with a specific anti-codon) for a particular amino acid; and 'wobble' base-pairing, i.e. permitting non-standard base-pairing at the 3rd anti-codon position.
Source: RNAcentral